AUCGAGUACAUUUUGUUUCGCCUUCGCUCCAUCGUCAUCGUCCCUAUCGAUAAUCGGUAACGUUCAACAGGAAGGGACACGUGUCAGUUUCGACCUGGUAAAUUCUCUCAUCGGAUUCUCAUCCAAUCAAUGCUAGUAGUAACAUUGUUUACUUCCCGUUUUACCCCUUAGUUAGGAAGUUAUUUUCAAUUUUGGUCAGGGCCUACUUAAAAUAACUGUAACGUGAUGAAGUGGGACCUGGUUCAGUAUGCGUGUGUGUGUUAUUAUUGCAAUUUCAGUACGUCUUUUUGUAUAGUAAUUUAUUGAU
Molecule: unclassified non-coding RNA, 307 nt
Filed under: Hevea brasiliensis (rubber tree)
Lineage: Eukaryota; Viridiplantae; Streptophyta; Magnoliopsida; Malpighiales; Euphorbiaceae
Source: RNAcentral